UCCGUAGGCGGGCUAAUAAGUCAGUGGUGAAAUCUCAUAGCUUAACUAUGAAACUGCCAUUGAUACUGCAGGUCUUGAGUAAGGUAGAAGUAGCUGGAAUAAGUAGUGUAGCGGUGAAAUGCAUAGAUAUUACUUAGAACACCAAUUGCGAAGGCAGGUUACUAUGUCUUAACUGACGCUGAUGGACGAAAGCGUGGGGAGCGAACAGGAUUAGAUACCCUGGUAGUCC
RNAcentral lists this ribosomal RNA (229 nucleotides) under uncultured bacterium. Its description in RNAcentral is "partial 16S ribosomal RNA". It matches the Rfam family "Bacterial small subunit ribosomal RNA", at positions 568 to 796 of the family's 1533-position model. The record is from RNAcentral.